GCACUUUAGUGCCACUCUGCAGUUCUGUACGAGCUGCGGGAACUGUGAACCUCUUCGAGAAAUGCUGUAGCUCCACACCCUGAGGCAGUGUAAGCUCCUAAAAUUCACUGUAACCAAACCUCUGCGUUUCUCCCAAGCCAGUUUAUGAAUGUGUCAGUAUGCAGUUUAUAAAAGCAGAGCCUUACUGAUCAAAGUUUAAAUAAAGCAUGGGAAAAAAAUGUGGAAGUGUCUAGAUUGCCUAAAUUUUUACGAUAUACAGGACUGGCUUUUGUGAACUUCUGAUUGUAUCUCAAAUUUAGUACCAUUUGGUCUUAUUAGGAAACAGUACGUUCAGUGAGUAAAAAAUAGCUUCAGAAAUUUUGUAUCUGCAAAAGUCUGCAAGCAAAAGAACACGUGCAUCAUAUGGAUAUCCAUUACAUUGUGAUCCACUUGUAUUUAAAUGGAAUGGGAAUGAAACUAUCUUUAAUUUAUUAAUCAACCUUGCUUUUGUUUAGAAAAGGAGGCAUAGGAAUCCGCUUUUCUCUGCACUGGUAAUUCUGCACUGCCUUAUUUUGAUUUCAAAAUCUAUUUCAGCAUUUUUGUUUUUCUAAUACUAAGAUUUCAUUUAUUAUACAUCAAGUAGUUGAAAUGUAGGCCUGUCUUGUUUGUCAAAAUACAGAUCAGCAUCUUAGUUUUUAUCUGUGUCAAAUCUAGGUGGUUAACAGUGUGCAUGUAAACACAGUGUAAAUUUUCUCUCUGUAACAGUGGUUCUUCUGGUUAGAAGCUCUUUAAAACAUCAUGUACAGUACUCCAGUAGAAGAACUGCCAAUGUAAAAUAUGCUUUUCAAAAAAAGAGCUAACUUAAUUGUUUUUAUAUGAAAUCUGGGCAAAGUGAUUCCUCGUAUUUAUGCUAAAUUAGCAAAAUAUUUUUACUCCGUGUAGUAGCUGGAAAGAUUUUUUUAUUUACUUGUUUCCACAAGAAGUCCUACAUGUUUUAUAUGAACUGCAUUGAAAAGUCUAGUUCUCUAGGGACUGGAUUCCAAACUUGCAACGUAUUCCAUCUCCUGGGAGAGCGCACCCAUGCUGGUUAUCUGGCUCAGCACUUCCACAGCCUCUGUUCCUCCAGUCACAGACCCCUCUAGGCUCUUUCUCUAAGGCUGAGUAGCCAGAUGAUCUUGCAUACUAAAAUUAUGGAGGUCUCAACAGUUAAGCAAGAUAUUUAUUUGGACUGCUGCUUUUAAACUGUUUGAAGAAGCAAAGGGAAAGAAAGUUCAUCUUAAAAUCUGUAUAUGGAAAUAAUUUUAAGCUUCAUGAACUACACAUUUCCUUAAUUUCCUUUUUUUAAACAAGUUGUAACAUCAAAGAUGCCAAAGGGUAAUAUAAGCUACAAUAAUAUUCAACAGAACUUAACCUAGAUCUUAUGUUGUAAUAAUUUAUUCAAAUUAACUGUAUUCUUCUGUAUUUAUAUUUUCCGUAUUUAUUAUGAAUGAUAUGAAAUUUGAUGUAUUUAUUGUGGCUUAUUACUGCAGUGUAUAUAUUACAAAAAUGAGCAUUUUUAAGUCUUAAUAUUAGUUUUUUUGUUAAUUAGUGGCACUUGUAUCAGCUGUAUUUUUAUUAUAUAUUGUACAAUAUAUAUUGUCCAUUUGUUUGCAAUGAAGUAAACCAGGUUUCUACGUUACAUCCUGGCUGCCAGUGCAUUGUGCGUCUCAUUUCUGCUCUGCAGUCACUAGAGAGCCUCUCUCAGCUGAGAGCUGGCAUCAGUACUGCACCUCCUCCCUGACACCUGCAGAGCCUCCAAAGGCACUCUGUGAAAUUUCAACCAUUUCUCCCAUUCCUGAUAGUCUGAUAGAAUAAGGAGAAGCAGUUUGUGUGGAAUUUCUGUGUGUGUGUUCUUUUGUUUCUAAAUAUUUGUAUGGCAAUUAAAUUAAAUAAACAGAAAUGCCUUCUUAGGUAUAUC
Long non-coding RNA from Melozone crissalis (California towhee), 1936 nucleotides. RefSeq lists it as uncharacterized. The transcript has 2 exons. The record is from RefSeq and is a predicted model, not a curated record. NCBI's taxonomy places the organism in Eukaryota, Metazoa, Chordata, Aves, Passeriformes, Passerellidae.